CUCCUUGACAAACUGAUGUGGAACUUCUUGAAAUUUUAAAAACCAAAAAAGCACGAAACUAAUUUUCCCUAGAGAAACCCAUAGAAUCUCUCUCUCUCUCUCUCGCACAUCUUCCUUCCUUCCUUCCUUCCUUCCUUCCUCCCAGAUUAAAACCCUUCCUUCUUUCCCUCAUCUUCGCCGUCGCUGAUAACCGAUCGAGCCCGUUGAACAUUGGUGGGGUGGGUAGAGUUAGAUACAGUCAAGCAGUCGAAGUACUCGUCGUCGCGUGUACCAAUUUCUUCCGGUUAUUCGCGUCGUCGUGAGUAAGGAACCAAUUUCUUUCGAUUGUCGCCCACCGGUAGUCGUCGUAGUCAUGUUUAAGGUACCUAUUUCUUCCGGUCUCGCCUAUCCUCAUUUGUCUUCAAUGAACACGCCCGGCUGCUUCAAUUGAUUUAAUUUAUACGCAAUCUUUCAUUCAUUAAUAGCCGUGAGGUUUGCUAUCUUGGAGAAUGCUUGACACAUAUUAUCACACCUUAUUUCUCCUAGAGUACUGACCAGACUGGCAUAUUUUAUUACGAUCCUCGUGUAUGGCUGAUUGACAUCCCUCCUCCACCUAUGUAGUAUAUACCCAUCUGGUAGUACGGUGACAUUGUUAUGGAUUAGUACUGCAAUUGCAUGCCUGCAAAUGAUCCCCCGAAACUCGAACAAAUGGUAGCUGCAAACGACCUCACAUUUCUCACUCUGGAAUGAGACAAAAAAUGUUUUCUUUUCACGUCGAUCAUUACAAAUGACAUCCUCUCGUAUCUCGUAAGUCGUCCCAAAACAUCCCUCCAAGGCAGAAAUAAGGUCGCAGUAAAUCUUACCGUAAACUCAGCUUGAACUUCUUUGAAUUUUGAAAAUGUGUAGACUGUUUGGAAUUGUUUUUCCAUUUCAUAUGUUGUUGCACACGGAAUCAUUUGUGAGAACGAAGUCAGUCUGGAACUUUUUUUCCACCUUGCACCUCAACGCUCGCUCAUACUGUUCAACGAAUUCUUCACAUGUACAUACCCACCGAAAAAUGAGUUCAUGCUUUCACUCCGCUGUAUUGUUGACAUUCC
This 1076-nucleotide long non-coding RNA is filed under the name Olea europaea subsp. europaea. Lineage: Eukaryota; Viridiplantae; Streptophyta; Magnoliopsida; Lamiales; Oleaceae. The record is from RNAcentral.